GAUAAAGGGGAAAGUUGUGGUGGAUUCACAGACCGGCUCAUGAAUCUUGCCUGGAACAUGUGGGCGGCCCACCAAACCAACCGCAAGCUGCUCAUCAAAUACGACAAACCCC
This 112-nucleotide non-coding RNA is filed under the name Fragilariopsis kerguelensis. The record is from RNAcentral. Lineage: Eukaryota; Bacillariophyta; Bacillariophyceae; Bacillariales; Bacillariaceae.